UACCAGCUCUCCGAGUGGUGUGGAUGUUUAUUGGGCCUAAAGCAUCCGUAGCUGGCUGGACAAGUCCCCUGUUAAAUCCACCGAUUUAAUCGUUGGUGUGCGGGGGAUACUGUUCGGCUAGGGGACGGGAGAGGCAGACGGUAUUUUCGGGGUAGGGGUGAAAUCCUAUAAUCCCGGGAAGACCACCAGUGGCGAAGGCUGUCUGCUAGAACGCGCCCGACGGUGAGGGAUGAAAGCUGGGGGAGCGAACCGGAUUAGAUACCCGGGUAGUCCCAGCUGUAAACGAUGCAGGCUAGGUGUUUGGACGGCCACGUGCCGUUCUAGUGCCGCAGGGAAGCCGUUAAGCCUGCCGCCUGGGGAGUACGGCCGCAAGGCUGAAACUUAAAGGAAUUGGCGGGGAGCACCACAAGGGGUGAAGCUUGCGGUUU
Molecule: ribosomal RNA, 428 nt
Filed under: uncultured archaeon
Lineage: Archaea
Description: bacterial SSU rRNA
Rfam family: Archaeal small subunit ribosomal RNA
Source: RNAcentral